RNAcentral lists this ribosomal RNA (433 nucleotides) under uncultured bacterium. RNAcentral describes it as "partial 16S ribosomal RNA". It matches the Rfam family "Bacterial small subunit ribosomal RNA", at positions 29 to 507 of the family's 1533-position model. The record is from RNAcentral.
AACGAACGCUGGCGGCAUGCCUAACACAUGCAAGUCGAACGAGACCUUCUGGUUUAGUGGCUCCCGGGUUCGUAACGCGUGGGAACCUGCCCUUAUGUUCUGAAUAACUCCCCGAAAUGGGUUCUAAUACCGGAUACUGUCUUCGGACCAAAGAUGUAUCGGCUUUGGAUGGGCCCGCGUUGGAUUAGCGAGUUGGUUGGGUUAAAGCCUACCAAGGCGACUAUCCAUAGCUUGUCUGAGAGGAUGAUCAGCCACACUGAGACUGAGACACGUCCCAGACUCGUACGAGAGGCGGCAAAGGGGAAUAGUGGACAGGGGGCGUAAGGCUGAUCCGGCAAGGCCGGGUGAGUGAUGUAGGCCUUAGAGUUGGAAAGCGCUUUUACCCGGGAUGAGAAUGACGGUACCGGGAGAAGAAGCUCCGGCUAACUACGUG